Molecule: ribosomal RNA, 369 nt
Filed under: uncultured bacterium
Lineage: Bacteria
Description: bacterial SSU rRNA
Rfam family: Bacterial small subunit ribosomal RNA
Source: RNAcentral
UGCCAGCGAGUCAUGUCGGGCACUCUAAGGGGACUGCCCCGGAUAACGGGGAGGAAGGUGGGGAUGACGUCAAGUCAGCAUGGCCUUUAUGUCCAGGGCUACACACGUGCUACAAUGGGUGGUACAGAGGGUUGCAAGACCGCGAGGUGGAGCUAAUCCCUAAAGCCACUCUCAGUUCGGAUCGCAGGCUGCAAUUCGCCUGCGUGAAGUUGGAAUCGCUAGUAAUCGCGGAUCAGCAAUGCCGCGGUGAAUACGUUCUCGGGCCUUGUACACACCGCCCGUCACAUCACGAAAGUUGGUCAUGCCCGAAGUCGCCGUGCUAACCCUUCGGGGAGGCAGGUGCCUAAGGUGUGGUCGAUGAUUGGGGUG